This 84-nucleotide transfer RNA is filed under the name Lactovum miscens. It matches the Rfam family "tRNA". Rfam says of the family: Transfer RNA (tRNA) molecules are approximately 80 nucleotides in length. Their secondary structure includes four short double-helical elements and three loops (D, anti-codon, and T loops). Further hydrogen bonds mediate the characteristic L-shaped molecular structure. tRNAs have two regions of fundamental functional importance: the anti-codon, which is responsible for specific mRNA codon recognition, and the 3' end, to which the tRNAs corresponding amino acid is attached (by aminoacyl-tRNA synthetases). tRNAs cope with the degeneracy of the genetic code in two manners: having more than one tRNA (with a specific anti-codon) for a particular amino acid; and 'wobble' base-pairing, i.e. permitting non-standard base-pairing at the 3rd anti-codon position. Lineage: Bacteria; Bacillati; Bacillota; Bacilli; Lactobacillales; Streptococcaceae. The record is from Rfam by way of RNAcentral.
GCCCGGAUGGCGAAAUCGGCAGACGCACAGGACUUAAAAUCCUGGGGAGGAAACUCCGUGCGGGUUCAAGUCCCGCUCUGGGCA